This 440-nucleotide ribosomal RNA is filed under the name uncultured bacterium. RNAcentral's name for it is "bacterial SSU rRNA". It matches the Rfam family "Bacterial small subunit ribosomal RNA", at positions 338 to 795 of the family's 1533-position model. The record is from RNAcentral.
CCUACGGGUGGCAGCAGUGGGGAAUAUUGGACAAUGGGCGCAAGCCUGAUCCAGCAAUGCCGCGUGCGUGAUGAAGGCCUUCGGGUUGUAAAGCGCUUUCGCCCGCGACGAUGAUGACGGUAGCGGGAGAAGAAGCCCCGGCUAACUCCGUGCCAGCAGCCGCGGUAAUACGGAGGGGGCUAGCGUUGUUCGGAAUUACUGGGCGUAAAGGGUGCGUAGGCGGCGCGCCAAGUCGGAUGUGAAAGCCCUGGGCUCAACCUGGGAACUGCAUUCGAGACUGGCGUGCUGGAGUCCGGGAGAGGAUGGCGGAAUUCCCAGUGUAGAGGUGAAAUUCGUAGAUAUUGGGAAGAACACCGGUGGCGAAGGCGGCCAUCUGGACCGGCACUGACGCUGAGGCACGAAAGCGUGGGGAGCAAACAGGAUUAGAUACCCCGGUAGUC